UACGGGGGGAGCAAGCGUUGUUCGGAUUUACUGGGCGUAAAGGGCGCGUAGGCGGUCAGCACAAGUCAGUUGUGAAAUCUCCGGGCUUAACUCGGAAAGGUCAACUGAUACUGUGCGACUAGAGUGCGGAAGGGGCAACUGGAAUUCUCGGUGUAGCGGUGAAAUGCGUAGAUAUCGAGAGGAACACCUGCGGCGAAGGCGGGUUGCUGGGCCGACACUGACGCUGAUGCGCGAAAGCCAGGGGAGCGAACCGG
Molecule: ribosomal RNA, 254 nt
Filed under: uncultured bacterium
Lineage: Bacteria
Description: partial 16S ribosomal RNA
Rfam family: Bacterial small subunit ribosomal RNA
Source: RNAcentral